GGUUAAGUUAGAAAGGGCGCACGGUGGAUGCCUUGGCACUAGGAGCCGAUGAAGGACGGGACUAACACCGAUAUGCUUCGGGGAGCUGUAAGCAAGCUUUGAUCCGGAGAUUUCCGAAUGGGGAAACCCACUGUUCGUAAUGGAACAGUAUCCAUAUCUGAAUUCAUAGGGUAUGGAAGGCAGACCCGGGGAACUGAAACAUCUAAGUACCCGGAGGAAGAGAAAGCAAACGCGAUUCCCUGAGUAGCGGCGAGCGAAACGGGAUUAGCCCAAACCAGAAGGCUUGCCUUCUGGGGUUGUAGGACACUCAACAUGGAGUUACAAAGGAACGGGGUAGAUGAAGCGGUCUGGAAAGGCCCGCCAAAGAAGGUAAAAGCCCUGUAUUCGAAACUUCGUUCCCUCCUGAGUGGAUCCUGAGUACGGCGGGACACGAGAAAUCCCGUCGGAAGCAGGGAGGACCAUCUCCCAAGGCUAAAUACUCCCUAGUGACCGAUAGUGAACCAGUACCGUGAGGGAAAGGUGAAAAGCACCCCGGAAGGGGAGUGAAAUAGAUCCUGAAACCGUGUGCCUACAAGUAGUCAGAGCCCGUUAAUGGGUGAUGGCGUGCCUUUUGUAGAAUGAACCGGCGAGUUACGAUCCCAUGCAAGGUUAAGCUGAUAAGGCGGAGCCGCAGCGAAAGCGAGUCUGAAUAGGGCGAAUGAGUAUGUGGUUGUAGACCCGAAACCAGGUGAUCUACCCAUGUCCAGGGUGAAGGUAGGGUAACACCUACUGGAGGCCCGAACCCACGCACGUUGAAAAGUGCGGGGAUGAGGUGUGGGUAGCGGAGAAAUUCCAAUCGAACCUGGAGAUAGCUGGUUCUCUCCGAAAUAGCUUUAGGGCUAGCCUCACGUUGUAAGAGUCUUGGAGGUAGAGCACUGUUUGGACUAGGGGCCCUCAUCGGGUUACCGAAUUCAGACAAACUCCGAAUGCCAAAGACUUAUCCGUGGGAGUCAGACUGCGAGUGAUAAGAUCCGUAGUCAAAAGGGAAACAGCCCAGACCACCAGCUAAGGUCCCAAAGUAUACGUUAAGUGGAAAAGGAUGUGGAGUUGCUUAGACAACCAGGAUGUUGGCUUAGAAGCAGCCACCAUUUAAAGAGUGCGUAAUAGCUC
This 1149-nucleotide ribosomal RNA is filed under the name Pelosinus baikalensis. RNAcentral's name for it is "partial 23S ribosomal RNA". It matches the Rfam family "Bacterial large subunit ribosomal RNA", at positions 1 to 1143 of the family's 2925-position model. Lineage: Bacteria; Bacillati; Bacillota; Negativicutes; Selenomonadales; Sporomusaceae. The record is from RNAcentral.